Molecule: ribosomal RNA, 706 nt
Filed under: Escherichia coli
Lineage: Bacteria; Pseudomonadati; Pseudomonadota; Gammaproteobacteria; Enterobacterales; Enterobacteriaceae
Description: bacterial SSU rRNA
Rfam family: Bacterial small subunit ribosomal RNA
Source: RNAcentral
GUGCCCUUGAGGCGUGGCUUCCGGAGCUAACGCGUUAAGUCGACCGCCUGGGGAGUACGGCCGCAAGGUUAAAACUCAAAUGAAUUGACGGGGGCCCGCACAAGCGGUGGAGCAUGUGGUUUAAUUCGAUGCAACGCGAAGAACCUUACCUGGUCUUGACAUCCACAGAACUUUCCAGAGAUGGAUUGGUGCCUUCGGGAACUGUGAGACAGGUGCUGCAUGGCUGUCGUCAGCUCGUGUUGUGAAAUGUUGGGUUAAGUCCCGCAACGAGCGCAACCCUUAUCCUUUGUUGCCAGCGGUCCGGCCGGGAACUCAAAGGAGACUGCCAGUGAUAAACUGGAGGAAGGUGGGGAUGACGUCAAGUCAUCAUGGCCCUUACGACCAGGGCUACACACGUGCUACAAUGGCGCAUACAAAGAGAAGCGACCUCGCGAGAGCAAGCGGACCUCAUAAAGUGCGUCGUAGUCCGGAUUGGAGUCUGCAACUCGACUCCAUGAAGUCGGAAUCGCUAGUAAUCGUGGAUCAGAAUGCCACGGUGAAUACGUUCCCGGGCCUUGUACACACCGCCCGUCACACCAUGGGAGUGGGUUGCAAAAGAAGUAGGUAGCUUAACCUUCGGGAGGGCGCUUACCACUUUGUGAUUCAUGACUGGGGUGAAGUCGUAACAAGGUAACCGUAGGGGAACCUGCGGUUGGAUCACCUCCUU